This 478-nucleotide ribosomal RNA is filed under the name Brachymonas sp. canine oral taxon 015. RNAcentral's name for it is "bacterial SSU rRNA". It matches the Rfam family "Bacterial small subunit ribosomal RNA", at positions 9 to 478 of the family's 1533-position model. Lineage: Bacteria; Pseudomonadati; Pseudomonadota; Betaproteobacteria; Burkholderiales; Comamonadaceae. The record is from RNAcentral.
GAGUUUGAUUCUGGCUCAGAUUGAACGCUGGCGGCAUGCUUUACACAUGCAAGUCGAACGGCAGCACAGGGAGCUUGCUCCUGGGUGGCGAGUGGCGAACGGGUGAGUAAUGUAUCGGAACGUGCCUGGUAGUGGGGGAUAACCACUCGAAAGAGUGGCUAAUACCGCAUGAGAUCUCUGGAUGAAAGCGGGGGACCUUCGGGCCUCGUGCUACUGGAGCGGCCGAUAUCAGAUUAGGUUGUUGGUGGGGUAAAGGCCUACCAAGCCUGCGAUCUGUAGCUGGUCUGAGAGGACGACCAGCCACACUGGGACUGAGACACGGCCCAGACUCCUACGGGAGGCAGCAGUGGGGAAUUUUGGACAAUGGGCGCAAGCCUGAUCCAGCAAUGCCGCGUGCAGGACGAAGGCCUUCGGGUUGUAAACUGCUUUUGUACAGAACGAAAAGUCUCUGGCUAAUAUCUAGAGAUCAUGACGNUAC